UACGGGGGGGGCAAGCGUUGUUCGGAAUUACUGGGCGUAAAGGGCUCGUAGGCGGCCAACUAAGUCAGACGUGAAAUCCCUCGGCUUAACCGGGGAACUGCGUCUGAUACUGGAUGGCUUGAAUCCGGGAGAGGGAUGCGGAAUUCCAGGUGUAGCGGUGAAAUGCGUAGAUAUUGGGAGGAACACCAGUGGCGAAGGCGGCUCACUGGACCGGAACUGACGCUGAGGCGCGAAAGCGUGGGGAGCAAACAGG
This 253-nucleotide ribosomal RNA is filed under the name uncultured bacterium. Its description in RNAcentral is "partial 16S ribosomal RNA". It matches the Rfam family "Bacterial small subunit ribosomal RNA", at positions 524 to 776 of the family's 1533-position model. The record is from RNAcentral.